CGCCGGGCAAACGCCACGCCAUCGAGAUGCGCGCACGAACAACCCAUGGAGGCGACGAGGCGAACUCCCUACUGGGCGUGGGGCGGUGCACAGGCGGCGGAACCUUCAGCGUGCCAGCCGGAGCAGCCAUCUCUCUUCGCGGGGCGUCGCUGUUACCUGCCGCAGGAACAGCUCCCCAAAAUGGCAGCGACGGGGCGCGGCGUGUGAAGCGCGCUCGAGGUGUUCGUGGAAAUGCCGCGCCAGGAAAACGGCGGAAAGUCGUGCCGGCCGCCGGCGCGGUGCGGCGUGGAAUGGAAGGCCACGGGCGGAAGACCCAGCGCAUUGUAUUUCUUCCCUCACUCGAGUCUUGACUUGAGUACAGGAGGUCGUCGUCUCUGCUCUGCUCUGUGACUCUGGUGUGUGAGAUGAGCACGCAAGCGCCACGGUCAACUGCCCGAGAAGUCAGUCCAAGAUGUCAAGCGCAUCCAAGGUGCAGGUACGACCGCCCCAGCUUCCAGGUUACUAGGCGGCUAGCUGCCAUGGCGUUGUGGACUGGGCUGGGUCAGGUGGCAAUGGUGGCGCAGCUGGUUGGCGCCGACGUCGGCGGGCUCAUCUCCAUGAUCAUGCAGGCUGCGCUGACAGCUCGCCAGAACAAGAGGGAGUGCGAGCAGCUCGCGCGGCGGGUCCUCAUGAUCGCAGAGCUUCUGCCGCACCUGCAGGUGCAGGAUCCGGAGGCCGUGCGGCCGCUGGUCGGGUUGGGCGACACGCUCCGGGACGCGCAUGAGCUUGUUGUGUCCUGUCAGGGGAGGAGCGUGGCUUAUCAACUUGUUAUGUCUGGGAGGCAGGCUGACAGGUUCAGAGAGGUCCAGAGCAGGAUCGACUCCUACCUCAUCCUCUUCCCCAUGGUCAGCUACAUCGGCAUAACACGCCAACUCAACCGAAUCUACAACGUCCUCGUUCCAGAUGAUGCCUCAAGCUUUGAACCGUCUCCAUCCUUCCAGUCGACCCUGGUUCAGCAGCCUGCAGAGGUCGCUCGGGAGGUACUACCGCAUGGAACCGGGGAGUUCAAGUUGCCAGAGAUAGUGGCGGCCACCAAUAACUUCGCCCUUGACACCGAGAUCGGUGAAGGCGGCUUUGGAACGGUGUACAAGGGCAGACUUCACGAUGGGCGGGAGGUGGCCGUCAAGCGUUACCGGCACCAAGGUUCCCACCAGAUGAAGGAGUUCAACAUGGAGCUCGCCAUCCUUUCCCGUCUCCGCCACAAGCACAUCGUUCAUCUCCUUGGCUGGUGCCUGGACAAGGUGAAGGAUAGGCGCCUACUAUCCUUCCGAAGAAAGAAGCAGGAGCAGGGGCACUUGGUCAUCUAUGAGUACAUGGAGAAUGGCACGCUCUACGACCACCUGCACCGCGAGCCCUCCUCGCUGGUGACUGUGUCCUGGAAGAUGCGCAUCGAUGUGCUUCUGGGUGUUUCGCGUGCCAUCGAGCACCUGCACUGCCAUGCCAUGCCGCCGGUCAUCCACCGCGACAUCAAGUCAGUGAACGUCCUUUUUGACUCGAGCUGGGUUCCACGUGUGUCAGACUUUGGCAUUUCAAUCACCUGGCAAACGACGAAUGAGGAGGAGGACUUCCCCGUUAUAGGCACAUAUGGGUACAUCGACCUGGAGUACGCCCACACAGGGCGCCUGAAACUGGCAAGUGACGUGUACAGCUUGGGUGUGGUGAUGCUCGAGGUACUGACAGGGAAGAAGGCAAUUAUUGGCUGGGAUGGGGAGACAGAUUCACCGCUGGACCUGGUAUCAUUCUCGCUCCCCAUCAUUGAGGCCGGCAACAUUGGGGAGUUGCUGGACAGACGCCCUUUGCCGGAACCAACGCCGCAACAGCUCAUGGCGCUAGAGCAUGUGGCGCAGACAGCAGCAUGCUGCGUGCAGAUGCAGGGUAAGGAUCGGCCAGCCAUAUCAGACGUCGUUGCCAGCCUCGAGAUGGCGCUCGAUCACAUCAUCCCUUCCACCUCUUUGGCUGAUGGGGUUCACAAGUGUUCUUUGCCUGUGCACUUCCACGACUCUCGUCCAUGUCCUCGACUCUGUCCUGAGCCAGCUGAGAGCUGGUUUGCUACACAGGAGGAGUCGGAAGGGGUGCUAUCAGAUUCAGAUAUCCCUGAACCAAGAUACCACAGAGCCCUUCCACUUCCAACAGGUAGAUAUUUCUUUGUCGUAUUUUACAGGCAGCAAUCCUUUCGAGCUAGUCUGGACUCUCAAUCUUUUGUGCAUGUUAGUAGUAGGUGGCUGCCUGCAAUGGCGCUGUGGACUGGGCUGGGUCAGGCGGUGACGGUGGCGCAGCUGAUCGGCACCGACAUCGGCGGGCUCAUCUCCAUGAUCAUGCAGGCUGCGCUGACGGCUUGCCAAAACAGGAGGGAGUGCGAGCAGCUCGCGCGCCGGGUCCUCAUGAUCGCAGAGCUUCUGCCGCACCUGCAGGUGCAGGAUCCGGAGGCCAUGCGGCCGCUGGUCGGGUUGGGCGACACGCUCCGGGACGCGCACGAGCUUGUUGUGUCCUGCCAGGGGAGGAGCGUGGCUUAUCAACUUGUUAUGUCUGGGAGGCAGGCCGACAGGUUCAGGGAGGUCCAGAGCAGGAUCGACUCGUACCUUAUCCUCUUCCCCAUGGUGAGCUACAUCGGCAUAACCCGCCGUCUCGACCGAAUUUACAACAUCCUCGUUCCAGAUGAUGCCACAAGCGGUGAACCGUCUCCACUCUUCCAGUCGACCCUGGUGCAGGAGUCUGAAGAGGUCACUCAGGAGGAAUCACCGGAUGGAACCGAGUUCACGUGGCGGCGAUCAUGGUGGCCACCAAUAACUUUGCCCUUGACACCAGGAUCGGUGUAGGCGGCUUUGGAACGGUGUACAAGGGAAGACUUCAUGACGGCCGGGAGGUGGCCAUCAAGCGCGCCCAGCACAAUACGAUCCAGGUUGAGGAGCAGUUCCGCAUGGAGCUCAUCGUCCUUUCCCGUCUCCGCCACAAGCAUACCGUUAAUCUCCUUGGCUGGUGCUUGGAGAAGGAUAAGCGCCUACUAUCCUUCCGAAGAAAGAAGCAGGAUCAAGAGCACUUGAUAGUCUAUGAGUACAUGGAGAAUGGCACGCUCUACGACCACCUGCACCGCGAGCCCUCCUCCUCGCUGGUGACUGUGUCCUGGAAGAUGCGCAUCGAUGUGCUUCUGGGUGUUUCACGUGCCAUCGAGCACCUGCACUGCCACGCCAUGCCACCGGUCAUCCACCGCGACAUCAAGUCAGAGAACGUCCUUUUUGACUCGAGCUGGGUUCCUCGUGUGUCGGACUUCGGACUAUCGGUCAUCUGGGACAUGAAGAAAAACGAAGAGGAAUUUCGCAUUGCAGGCACGAUUGGGUACGUCGACCCGGAGUACUACCACACAGGCCGCCUGAACCCGGCGAGUGACGUGUUCAGCUUGGGUGCGGUGAUGCUUGAAGUACUAACAGGGAAGAAGGCAUUUAUAAGAGAUUUAUGGGUGGACCUGGUAUCCUUCUCGCUUCCCAUCAUUGAGGCCGGAAAUCUGGGGAAAUUACUGGACAGGCGCCCAGCACCAGAGCCAACACCUCAACAACUCCAGGCACUGAAGCACGUAGCACAGACAGCAGCAUGUUGCGUGCAGAUUCAGGGCAAGGACCGGCCAGCCAUAUCAGACCUCGUCACCAGCCUCGAGAUGGCGCUCGAGCACAUCACACCUUCCACUCCUUUGGCUGGUGUGGUUUCCUUGCCUGUGCACUUCCAUGGCUCUCAUCCAUGUCCUCUUAUUUGGCCCGAGCCACCUGAUACUGAUAGCCGGUGGUAUAUACAGGAGGUGUCUGAAGGGGUGCUAUCAGAUUCAGACAUCCCUGAACCAAGAUAGCGCACAUGAAAGCUUAAGAAAGUCAAAUCAUUUAACCAUCAACAUUUUACACUAAAAAGAACUCAACAAAAAAACCAUUGCAUUUUUACUUUGUAACGCUGGCAUGCUGGAGUAUUUUGAAACUCGAAAUGAUUGCAUUUUUAACAAUGCCUAGCCAUCCCUCUAUAGGUGUAGGAGGAUCUUUAAAGAAAAUAUGAAUCUAGUAUUUCACCGUGCCAAAAGAAACACCUACAACAGUUUCAGGGGCUGGAUUGUAUCUUUCAGAUAACGUUUCGUUAUCCUGAACUCUUUGUAACAUAUUUUUUUUAUACAUAUCUAUAUAGUCAUAGUAGAUCAUUGAUCUACUGUACUUUCCUCAAAAAAUAACUACCGAUUUUUCUAAUUUAAUCGCAAAACCACGAUCAUUCGGGCAAGUUUUGACACAUUGCACGAUUUGGCCAUUUGCCGCUUUUAAGCUUGUUUAAGACAAUAAAAAACCAAUCAAAAUUUGACAAACCUACAGAAAUUAUUUGAAUACAACUACCAAUAACACAAACAUGAGCUCCAUUACAUAUAGAAGGACAUUAUAAGUACAUUUCAACAAAGUUUCAACAUAGAAGUACAUUCUUCACGAUUAGAGACAAACAAGGGUCACACAAAUUAAACUUCAAAAUUUCAUUGGUUUAAGCUUCAACCCUGUAAGUAUUAAACCACCCACAUACAACAUUUAACCAAUGACAUUGAGGAUGCAUGCACAAGCUUAAACGGGGCGAGCAGCCAAAUCGGUGCAAAAGUGACAAAACUUGCCUGAAUGGUGGUGGUUUUGCGUUAAAAUUACGAAAACCAUGCAGUUGUUAUGUGACACAUGUGUCUUCAAUGUGAUGGUUCUGUA
Molecule: RNA transcript, 4745 nt
Organism: Brachypodium distachyon (stiff brome)
Lineage: Eukaryota; Viridiplantae; Streptophyta; Magnoliopsida; Poales; Poaceae
Exons: 5
Source: RefSeq, a predicted model, not a curated record